UCCUCCCAGAGCAGAACAGUUCGUAUUUGGGCAAGACAAAAGGCUAUUGGAGAAGGUCAAGGUGACUAUGCCCUGAGCAUCACCCAGCCAAUACUGAAGUUCUUUGAGAAGUAUUACAGCACCAACUAUCCACUCUCUAAAUCAGACCAGAUUGCACUGCCUGACUUUAAUGCUGGAGCCAUGGAAAACUGGGGUCUCGUCACCUACAGGGAAACGUCUCUGCUCUAUGAUCCCAAAACCUCGGCCAACGGCAACAAGCAGAGAAUUGUGAUUGUGGUUUCUCAUGAGCUCGCUCAUAUGUGGUUUGGAAACCUGGUGACUCUGAAGUGGUGGAACGACUUGUGGCUAAACGAGGGAUUUGCUUCAUAUGUGGAGUACCUUGGUGCAGACUAUGCAGAGCCAACCUGGAACAUUAAAGAUCAGAUCAUACUGUAUGAUAUUUACCGCGCGUUUGCUGUGGAUAGCCUGGUCUCCUCUCACCCGCUGUCCUGCAAAGAGGAGGAGGUCAACAAGCCAGCGGAGAUCAGCCAAAUGUUCAACACCAUAUCUUACAGCAAGGGGGCUGCGGUGCUCAGGAUGCUCUCUGAAUUCCUGACUGAGCCGAUCUUCGCUAAGGGGCUCAGUGUAAGUCAUACUUUUGCUUAUGGGAACUCUGUGUAUUCAGAUCUGUGGGAUCAUCUUCAGAAGGCCGUAGAGAAAACCCCACAUCUGAAGCUGCCGCACAGAGUGCAUGACAUCAUGAAUCGCUGGAUUCUGCAGAUGGGUUUCCCAGUGGUCACCAUUGACACCCAAACAGGAAAUGUGAGCCAGAAGCACUUCCUGUUGGAGCCAAACUCUGUGGUGGAAAGACCGUCUGAGUUCAAUUAUGAGUGGUUUAUACCAAUCAAGUGGAUGAAGAAAGGGGUAGAACAAGAUCAGCUGUGGCUUCUUCAGAAAUCAGCUAUGCACAAACCUAUGAAAGUCAGCAGAGGUGAUUGGGUUUUGGCCAACACUAAUGUUUCUGGAUACUACAGAGUCAACUACGACCCUGAGAACUGGGAGCGCCUCCUGAAACAACUGAGCUCCAACCAUCAGGUAAUACCACUGAUAAACAGAGCCCAGAUACUGGAUGAUGCCUUUAACCUGGCUAGGGCAUCCAUCAUUAACAUAACUCUCGCUCUGAGAACCACCAAAUAUCUCUCGCUGGAGAGAGAGUAUAUUCCAUGGGAGGCGGCUCUGAGAAGUCUCAACUCAUUAUUCCUCCUGUUUGAUCGCAGUGAAGUUUAUGGGCCCAUGCAGGCCUACCUCAGAAAACAGGUCAAGCCUCUGUUUGAUUAUUUUGCCAGUGUUACUGAAAACUGGGCGACUGUGUUCUCACAGAUCAUCGCACUGUCACUGGCGUGUAAAACCGGGGUGCAGGGCUGCCGUGAACUCACCAAAACCUGGUUCAGACAAUGGAUGCAGGAUCCUAAUAAUAAUGAGAUUCACCCCAACCUGAGGUCCACAGUGUACUGCUAUGCUAUAGCUACUGGAGGAGUAGAGGAGUGGGACUUCACCUGGAAGAUGUUCAAGAAAGCGACAGUAGCAGCCGAAGCGGUUAAACUGCGCGCAGCUUUGUCCUGCACCAGAGAGCCCUGGUUACUCAACAGAUUCCUUGAAUACACUUUGGAUCCUAAUAAGAUCCGGAAGCAGGAUGCCACUUCCACAAUCGGAGCCAUCGCUAGUAACGUUGUUGGUCAGCCUCUGGCCUGGAACUUCGUCCGGGCGAGAUGGGAGUACCUGUUCAAAGAGUAAG
Molecule: long non-coding RNA, 1774 nt
Filed under: Astyanax mexicanus (Mexican tetra)
Lineage: Eukaryota; Metazoa; Chordata; Actinopteri; Characiformes; Acestrorhamphidae
Description: lncRNA (ENSAMXG00005003188.1)
Source: RNAcentral